UAGUCCACGCCGUAAACGAUGGUUACUAGCUGUUUGGUUUAUACUGAGUGGCUAAGCGAAAGUGAUAAGUAACCCACCUGGGGAGUACGUUCGCAAGAAUGAAACUCAAAGGAAUUGACGGGGGCCCGCACAAGCGGUGGAGCAUGUGGUUUAAUUCGAUGAUACGCGAGGAACCUUACCAGGGCUUAAAUGUAAGUUGCAUUAGUUAGAGAUAGCUAUUUCUUCGGACUACUUACAAGGUGCUGCAUGGUUGUCGUCAGCUCGUGCCGUGAGGUGUCAGGUUAAGUCCUAUAACGAGCGCAACCCCUGUUGUUAGUUGCCAGCAUGUAAAGAUGGGAACUCUAACAAGACUGCCGGUGCAAACCGCGAGGAAGGUGGGGAUGACGUCAAAUCAUCACGGGCCCUUACGUCCUGGGGCCACACACGUGCUACAAUGGUAGGUACAGCGAGCAGCUAUUGGGUGACCAUGCGCUAAUCUAU
RNAcentral lists this ribosomal RNA (480 nucleotides) under uncultured bacterium. RNAcentral describes it as "bacterial SSU rRNA". It matches the Rfam family "Bacterial small subunit ribosomal RNA", at positions 791 to 1276 of the family's 1533-position model. The record is from RNAcentral.